This 21-nucleotide microRNA is filed under the name Ananas comosus (pineapple). RNAcentral describes it as "microRNA s0897_c118a". The record is from RNAcentral. Lineage: Eukaryota; Viridiplantae; Streptophyta; Magnoliopsida; Poales; Bromeliaceae.
AGUUAGUGUAGAGCUUGAUAG